UAUCCAGGGAAGGGAAUCGAACCCACAGUGUUCCGUUUACCGGGCAGAUGCCAUGUCCACUAGGUUAACCUGGAC
RNAcentral lists this transfer RNA (75 nucleotides) under Cordylochernes scorpioides. RNAcentral describes it as "tRNA-Thr". The record is from RNAcentral. Lineage: Eukaryota; Metazoa; Arthropoda; Arachnida; Pseudoscorpiones; Chernetidae.